GAUGAACGCUAGCGGCAGGCCUAAUACAUGCAAGUCGAGGGAGAAUGUUGGAUUCGUCUGACAUGAAACCGGCGCACGGGUGCGUAACACGUAUGCAACCUACCUUCAACUGGGGUAUAGCUCAGAGAAAUCUGAAUUAAUCCCCCAUAAGACUACGACAUGGCAUCAUGAUGUAGUUAAAGCUCCGGCGGUUAAGGAUGGGCAUGCGGUACAUUAGCUAGUUGGUGAGGUAAUGGCUCACCAAGGCUACGAUGUAUAGGGGGUCUGAGAGGAUGAUCCCCCACACUGGGACUGAGACACGGAACAGACUCCUACGGGAGGCAGCAGUAGGGAAUAUUGGUCAAUGGACGCAAGUCUGAACCAGCCAUGCCGCGUGAAGGAUGAAGGCCCUAUGGGUCGUAAACUUCUUUUAUUAGGGAAGAAAAAACGGGAUGCGUCCUGUACUGACGGUACUUAAUGAAUAAGGAUCGGCUAACUUCGUGCCAGCAGCCGCGGUAA
This 498-nucleotide ribosomal RNA is filed under the name uncultured bacterium. RNAcentral describes it as "partial 16S ribosomal RNA". It matches the Rfam family "Bacterial small subunit ribosomal RNA", at positions 28 to 523 of the family's 1533-position model. The record is from RNAcentral.